RNAcentral lists this ribosomal RNA (492 nucleotides) under uncultured bacterium. RNAcentral's name for it is "partial 16S ribosomal RNA". It matches the Rfam family "Bacterial small subunit ribosomal RNA", at positions 29 to 507 of the family's 1533-position model. The record is from RNAcentral.
AGUGAACGCUGGCGGUAGGCCUAACACAUGCAAGUCGAACGGCAGCACAGUAAGAGCUUGCUCUUACGGGUGGCGAGUGGCGGACGGGUGAGGAAUACAUCGGAAUCUACUUUUUCGUGGGGGAUAACGUAGGGAAACUUACGCUAAUACCGCAUACGACCUACGGGUGAAAGCAGGGGAUCUUCGGACCUUGCGCGAUUGAAUGAGCCGAUGUCGGAUUAGCUAGUUGGCGGGGUAAAGGCCCACCAAGGCGACGAUCCGUAGCUGGUCUGAGAGGAUGAUCAGCCACACUGGAACUGAGACACGGUCCAGACUCCUACGGGAGGCAGCAGUGGGGAAUAUUGGACAAUGGGCGCAAGCCUGAUCCAGCCAGACUGCGUGGGUGAAGAAGGCCUUCGGGUUGUAAAGCCCUUUUGUUGGGAAAGAAAAGCAGCAGGUUAAUACCCCGCUGUUCUGACGGUACCCAAAGAAUAAGCACCGGCUAACUUCGUG